This 572-nucleotide ribosomal RNA is filed under the name uncultured Flavobacteriales bacterium. Its description in RNAcentral is "bacterial SSU rRNA". It matches the Rfam family "Bacterial small subunit ribosomal RNA", at positions 148 to 718 of the family's 1533-position model. Lineage: Bacteria; Pseudomonadati; Bacteroidota; Flavobacteriia; Flavobacteriales. The record is from RNAcentral.
CCAGAGAAAUUUGGAUUAAUGCCCCAUAGUACUGUUUGAUUGCAUGAUUAAAUAGUUAAAGAUUUAUCGGAUAAAGAUGGCCAUGCGUACCAUUAGUUAGUUGGUAAGGUAACGGCUUACCAAGGCAGCGAUGGUUAGGGGCCCUGAGAGGGGGAUCCCCCACACUGGUACUGAGACACGGACCAGACUCCUACGGGAGGCAGCAGUGAGGAAUAUUGGACAAUGGAGGAGACUCUGAUCCAGCCAUGCCGCGUGCAGGAUGACGGCCCUAUGGGUUGUAAACUGCUUUUAUACAGGAAGAAACCUUUCCACGUGUGGAAAGCUGACGGUACUGUAAGAAUAAGGACCGGCUAACUCCGUGCCAGCAGCCGCGGUAAUACGGAGGGUCCGAGCGUUAUCCGGAAUCAUUGGGUUUAAAGGGUCCGUAGGCGGGCCUAUAAGUCAGGGGUGAAAGUUUGUGGCUCAACCAUAAAAUUGCCCUUGAUACUGUAGGUCUUGAGUUAUAGUGAAGUUGCCGGAACAUGUGGUGUAGCGGUGAAAUGCAUAGAUAUCACAUAGAACACCAAUUGCGA